RNAcentral lists this non-coding RNA (100 nucleotides) under Domibacillus enclensis. RNAcentral's name for it is "Guanine sequence". It matches the Rfam family "Purine riboswitch aptamer". From Rfam's summary of the family: Riboswitches are metabolite binding domains within certain messenger RNAs that serve as precision sensors for their corresponding targets. Allosteric rearrangement of mRNA structure is mediated by ligand binding, and this results in modulation of gene expression. The record is from RNAcentral. Lineage: Bacteria; Bacillati; Bacillota; Bacilli; Caryophanales; Bacillaceae.
GUAGAUGACAAUAAAGCACCUCAUAUAAUAGCGGGAAUAUGGCUCGCGAGUUUCUACCGGCUGCCGUAAACAGCCGACUAUGGGGAAAGCAUUCGGAAUC